UCCCUAGAGGAGUAGUGGUUAGGCCACAAUGCUUUCACUGCUGUGGCUGGGGUUCGAUUCCCGGCCAGGGAA
This is a non-coding RNA of Pangasianodon gigas (Mekong giant catfish), 72 nucleotides long. The record is from the annotation of a GenBank genome assembly. NCBI's taxonomy places the organism in Eukaryota, Metazoa, Chordata, Actinopteri, Siluriformes, Pangasiidae.